UACGAAGGGGGCUAGCGUUGUUCGGAUUUACUGGGCGUAAAGCGCACGUAGGCGGAUUGUUAAGUCAGGGGUGAAAUCCCAGAGCUCAACUCGUGGAACUGCCUUUGAUACUGGCAAUCUCGAGUCCGGAAGAGGUGAGUGGAACUCCUAGUGUAGAGGUGGAAUUCGUAGAUAUUAGGAAGAACACCAGUGGCGAAGGCGGCUCACUGGUCCGGAACUGACGCUGAGGUGCGAAAGCGUGGGGAGCAAGCAGG
Molecule: ribosomal RNA, 254 nt
Filed under: uncultured bacterium
Lineage: Bacteria
Description: partial 16S ribosomal RNA
Rfam family: Bacterial small subunit ribosomal RNA
Source: RNAcentral